This 1180-nucleotide long non-coding RNA is filed under the name Piliocolobus tephrosceles (Ugandan red Colobus). RNAcentral's name for it is "lncRNA (ENSPTEG00000013994.1)". Lineage: Eukaryota; Metazoa; Chordata; Mammalia; Primates; Cercopithecidae. The record is from RNAcentral.
ACGUUUAAAUGACAAAGUUGCAUUCUUUAAACACUCCUCACUAUGAAACAUCAAACGAUUACAGUGGCUUAUUCGUUGGAAAUAUAUUCAGUGAGAUUCAAGAUGAAAUAAACAACUCUUGUAUUAUUCAAGACACAUCGAAAGAAGCCUCUAUAAAAUGUAACCAUAAAAAAAUAAAUACUAACAACAGUAAAUACAGCAGUUGUGAUAACACUAAUAACAGUUGCAAUGACACCGAUAACAACCACAACAAUGAUUACAUUUGUACUUAUAAUAAUGUAAACACAAAUUUAAGUAAGAAAGAAAUAUGUAGUAAUGUUAUAAAUAUAGAAGAGUAUGUAAAUUUCAUAAAAGCUAAACAUAAUGAAUAUAAGAAGAAAAAAAAGGACUAUAUUAUUGCAUACAUUAACCAGAGAAAAAUAAAAAAAUUUCAUUAUAAGGAUAUGGAUAAUUUAUUUAAGAGAUAUUUGUUAUUUUUAAAUUUUCAAGAAAAAUGUCUAUUUUGUAAUAAUUAUUUGUCAUUUUCUUUUUUAUAUUUUGAUAAAUAUUUGAGAAAAAAUAAGAAUAUAGAUACAUACGGAAAAAAUAAUAAAAAAUUAUUACAUUUUUGUGAAUGCUUAGAACAAGUUGAAUAUUCUAAACAAUAUAUAAACGAUAAAAAUGAUGAUGGUUAUAUUGAUAUGACUCAUCUUUUGAAAGAAAACAUAAUUUUCCCAAUGGAUAUCCCCUCCAAAAAAGGUAUUAUUAGAAGAGAGUUUAUGAAGAAUAUAAAAUAUACUGAGUUUUUCAAGUAUAAUUAUACCAGCAAAAAAAUUUAUAAAGCAGUUCCUAUUAAAAAAAUUGACAAUAUAGACACAACAUAUAUAAACAAAUUUAAAUAUAUUGAGAAACCUCAAUUAACUAUUGAACAUGUUAAAAGGUUGAAUAGUAACACAGAAAUUUUCACUCCGCUUUUUAAAAUUCAAAACGUUUGCACGCUCUUAACGACAGUUGAAAAAAAAUUAUUAAUUGCAUGUUUAAAAGUAGUUAAUAAGAUUGUGAUUAAUGAGAAAAUUGAUAAAUUAACCGUAAUAAUUUUUUGCUAUUUAAGUAAUUUAUAUAACGUUGUAAUGAGGUUAAAUGCAGAAUGCAUUUUAAGUUGCUACUCCCAGACACAUUUGGAAUAUUUUCUAUAUGUAAG